UACGUAGGCAGCGAGCGUUGUUCGGAGUUACUGGGCGUAAAGGGUGCGUAGGCGGUUUGUCGCGUCUGCUGUGAAAACCUAAGGCUCAACCUUGGGCUUGCAGUGGGUACGGGCAGACUAGAGUGCGGGUAGGGGGUGACUGGAAUUCCUGGUGUAGCGGUGGAAUGCGCAGAUAUCAGGAGGAACACCGAUGGCGAAGGCAGG
Molecule: ribosomal RNA, 204 nt
Filed under: uncultured bacterium
Lineage: Bacteria
Description: partial 16S ribosomal RNA
Rfam family: Bacterial small subunit ribosomal RNA
Source: RNAcentral